Molecule: RNase P RNA, 209 nt
Filed under: Loktanella sp.
Lineage: Bacteria; Pseudomonadati; Pseudomonadota; Alphaproteobacteria; Rhodobacterales; Roseobacteraceae
Description: partial RNase P RNA component class A
Rfam family: Bacterial RNase P class A
About the family: Ribonuclease P (RNase P) is a ubiquitous endoribonuclease, found in archaea, bacteria and eukarya as well as chloroplasts and mitochondria.
Source: RNAcentral
GCGGGUGGUUGGAUGAUCGCGGGGGGGUAACCCUUCGAGGAAAGUCCGGACUCCAUGAAAAGCACGGUGCUGGUUAAUGGCCAGCGGGGGUAACCCUAGGGAUAGCGCCACAGAGAACAGACCGCCUUCUAUAUGGAGGUAAGGGUGAAACGGUGAGGUAAGAGCUCACCGCGGAUGUGGCAACACAGACGGCACGGCAAGCCCCACCG